GGUUAAGUGAAUAAGGGCGCACGGUGGAUGCCUUGGCACUAGAAGCCGAUGAAGGACGGGACUAACACCGAUAUGCUUCGGGGAGCUGUAAGUAAGCUAUGAUCCGGAGAUUUCCGAAUGGGGGAACCCAGUAUCUUUUAUAGGAUAUUAUCUAGUAGUGAAUACAUAGCUAUUAGAAGGUAGACGCAGAGAACUGAAACAUCUAAGUACCUGCAGGAAGAGAAAGAAAAAUCGAUUUCCUUAGUAGCGGCGAGCGAAACGGAAACAGCCCAAACCAAUAAGCUUGCUUAUUGGGGUUGUAGGACUCAAUUGUGGUAGCUGUUGUGGAUAGUCGAAUCGAUCUGGAAAGGUCAGCCGUAGCGGGUAAAAGCCCCGUAGAUGAAAUUGACAACACACCUAUGAGUAUCCUGAGUACGGCGGAACACGAGAAAUUCCGUCGGAAUCCGGGAGGACCAUCUCCCAAGGCUAAAUACUCUCUAGUGACCGAUAGUGAACCAGUACCGUGAGGGAAAGGUGAAAAGCACCCCGGAAGGGGAGUGAAAUAGAACCUGAAACCGUGUGCUUACAAGAAGUUAGAGCCCGUUAAUGGGUGAUAGCGUGCCUUUUGCAGAAUGAACCGGCGAGUUACGAUAGCAUGCGAGGUUAAGCUGAAGAAGCGGAGCCGUAGCGAAAGCGAGUCUGAAUAGGGCGAAUGAGUAUGUUGUCGUAGACCCGAAACCAUGUGACCUACCCAUGUCCAGGUUGAAGGUGUGGUAAAACGCACUGGAGGACCGAACCCACGUACGUUGAAAAGUGCGGGGAUGAGGUGUGGGUAGCGGAGAAAUUCCAAACGAACUUGGAGAUAGCUGGUUCUCUCCGAAAUAGCUUUAGGGCUAGCCUCGGAUUUGAGAAUGAUGGAGGUAGAGCACUGUUUGGACUAGGGGCCCGUCUUGGGUUACCGAAUUCAGAUAAACUCCGAAUGCCAUUCAUUUAUAUCCGGGAGUCAGACAGUGAGUGAUAAGAUCCAUUGUCGAAAGGGAAACAGCCCAGACCACCAGCUAAGGUCCCAAAAUACAUGUUAAGUGGAAAAGGAUGUGAGGGUGCACAAACAACUAGGAUGUUGGCUCAGAAGCAGCCACCAUUUAAAGAGUGCGUAAUAGCUCACUAGUCGAGUGCCCUUGCGCCGAAAAUGUACCGGGGCUAAACAUGUUACCGAAGCUGUGGAUAGAACCUUUGGUUCUAUGGUAGGAGAGCGUUCUAAGGGCGUUGAAGCUGGAUCGUAAGGACUGGUGGAGCGCUUAGAAGUGAGAAUGCCGGUAUGAGUAGCGAAAGACAGGUGAGAAUCCUGUCCACCGAAUGACUAAGGUUUCCUGGGGAAGGCUCGUCCUCCCAGGGUUAGUCGGGACCUAAGCUGAGGCCGAUAGGCGUAAGCGAUGGACAACAGGUUGAGAUUCCUGUACUCGUUUGUUUUGUUUGAACAAUGGAGGGACACAGGAGGCUAUGAGAUCGUGCGACUGGAAGUGCACGUUCAAGCAACAAGUUUUGAUAAGAGUCAAAUGCUUUUAUCUUUAAGAACAAGUUGUGAUGAGUAGGGAAAUAGAGUACCGAAGUCUCAAUGUCACACUGUCAAGAAAAGCUUCUAGUUAGAAACAAAUGACCCGUACCGCAAACCGACACAGGUAGUCGAGGAGAGAAUCCUAAGGUGAGAGAGAACUCUCGUUAAGGAACUCGGCAAAAUGACCCCGUAACUUCGGGAGAAGGGGUGCUGAACGCAAGUUCAGCCGCAGUGAAUAGGCCCAAGCGACUGUUUAUCAAAAACACAGGUCUCUGCAAAAUCGAAAGAUGACGUAUAGGGGCUGACGCCUGCCCGGUGCUGGAAGGUUAAGAGGAUGGGUUAGCAAUAGCGAAGCUCAAAAUUGAAGCCCCAGUAAACGGCGGCCGUAACUAUAACGGUCCUAAGGUAGCGAAAUUCCUUGUCGGGUAAGUUCCGACCCGCACGAAAGGCGUAACGAUUUGGGCACUGUCUCAACGAGAGACUCGGUGAAAUUUUAGUACCUGUGAAGAUGCAGGUUACCCGCGACAGGACGGAAAGACCCCAUGGAGCUUUACUGUAGUUUGAUAUUGAAUGUUUGUAACACAUGUACAGGAUAGGUAGGAGCCGUAGAAAUCGGAACGCUAGUUUCGAUGGAGGCGCUGGUGGGAUACUACCCUUGUGUUAUGACCAUUCUAACCCGCACCACUUAUCGUGGUGGGAGACAGUGUCAGAUGGACAGUUUGACUGGGGCGGUCGCCUCCCAAAAGGUAACGGAGGCGCCCAAAGGUUCCCUCAGAAUGGUUGGAAAUCAUUCGUAGAGUGCAAAGGCAGAAGGGAGCUUGACUGCGAGAGUUACAACUCGAGCAGGGACGAAAGUCGGGCUUAGUGAUCCGGUGGUUCCGCAUGGAAGGGCCAUCGCUCAACGGAUAAAAGCUACCCUGGGGAUAACAGGCUUAUCUCCCCCAAGAGUUCACAUCGACGGGGAGGUUUGGCACCUCGAUGUCGGCUCGUCGCAUCCUGGGGCUGUAGUCGGUCCCAAGGGUUGGGCUGUUCGCCCAUUAAAGCGGCACGCGAGCUGGGUUCAGAACGUCGUGAGACAGUUCGGUCCCUAUCCGUCGCGGGCGUUGGAAAUUUGAGAGGAGCUGUCCUUAGUACGAGAGGACCGGGAUGGACAUACCUCUGGUGUACCAGUUGUUCUGCCAAGGGCAUUGCUGGGUAGCUAUGUAUGGACGGGAUAAACGCUGAAAGCAUCUAAGCGUGAAGCCCCCCUCAAGAUGAGAUUUCCCAUUCCUUUAAGGAAGUAAGACCCCUGAAAGAUGAUCAGGUAGAUAGGCUAGAAGUGGAAGUACAGUGAUGUAUGGAGCGGACUAGUACUAAUCGGUCGAGGACUUAACCAA
This 2910-nucleotide ribosomal RNA is filed under the name Vagococcus changpingensis. Its description in RNAcentral is "Vagococcus sp. CY52-2 23S ribosomal RNA". It matches the Rfam family "Bacterial large subunit ribosomal RNA". The record is from RNAcentral. Lineage: Bacteria; Bacillati; Bacillota; Bacilli; Lactobacillales; Enterococcaceae.